This 1741-nucleotide long non-coding RNA is filed under the name Bemisia tabaci. RNAcentral's name for it is "lncRNA ENSSSA1UGG001081". The record is from RNAcentral. Lineage: Eukaryota; Metazoa; Arthropoda; Insecta; Hemiptera; Aleyrodidae.
CAGACUUGGUAGAAUCUUGACUCAGGAUGUAUCGACAGAUAGAUCUUACAUUCUGCAAUCGAAAUAAUGUAGGAGCUGCCUUAAAAUUUUUAGCUCAGGAGUUGAACUUCAGAGGAUAUCCAGGGUUACCAAAGUACACAGAAUCAGAGAAUGAAUCAGACGUCAUGGUUUGCUUUAAUCAAUAAUCUUUGGAUUGCAACAAGGCAGCAAGAAGCAUGUAAGCAAGAGAGAGAAGAUUUGCACGCAGAAAUCAGUGAACUGACUGAUUGUAAUAAGAAACUAAAUGCCUCAAAAUUGCACGGAAAACUAGAGUCUUUCAGCAAUCAAUUUAUUCACAACAUCAGAAAACGAGACAAUGAAAUUGAUCGAUUGCAAAAUUUAAUCGCAUCUGAUGCUUGCAGAGAGCUUUACUGUGGAGUUUCUGGUGAGCUGAAGGAAAAAUUUGAAAAGUAUAAAGAAGAAAGACUGAAAAAAAUGAUAGGACCUGAUGUGGAAAAGGACUACAUCAAAAGCAUACGAAUCUUGGAGAAGAAUAUCCAAGACUUGGUGGUAGAAAAUGUCUGCUGGCGGCAAGCAAUGAAAACGCAAUACCUACAAAUAAUUUCUGUCCUUCUACCAGAGGAAGGUAGCGGAGAUGCUAUUGAAGCUGGACUGAAUUUUGAUCUUCCAUAUGAAAACUUUAUUCGAAUAUUCCACAAACAGUGGCUGCUUAUAAUCAAGAGGAUUACGUUGUUGAUGGAAUGCCGAGCCGAUGAACUGAAACUGCUUAUGAAAAAUGACAAUGACCAAACUGUAGCUCAGUCAAAUUGAUUCUGAAGCCGCUAACCAGCAAAAAAUAUCACAACAACUUGGAAAUCCGAGUUUCAAGUCUGACGAUUGACGUACCAUAUCUUCAUUGAACGUUGCAAAUUUUCAAUUGAUGAAUGGUCCCAAGUCAGCUAUUAAUGAGUGUGCAGUAGCAGCCUUUAGCAAUGAUCAUUUUUCUAAGACAAGAACUCUUAUUUGAAGGAAUGUGGAGAGUUAUUGAUACUCCUAAGAAAAGGUAAAUAUAUUGAUCUUAUCAAACCAACGAAAGAUUUUUUUUUUUUUUCAUUGAUAGGCACAGGGAGAAUAUUUUAUCAAAUUUUUCUCUUCAACCUCAUUCUCAGUUCGAAUACAUUUUGUAAUAAAGAACUAUUAUUUCUGGCUUAUCCACAAAUACAGUAACACACCCAUCUAAUUUCUAAAAUGAGCUAGAAGCAUGGAGUUCCUCAUUGCAGAAUGCGUUCUGUUUGUGAUUUUCCACAGGACACAAUGUUCAUUAAAAAGUUGAGAAAAAUCAUUUCUAAGGAAAAAAAGCUGAUCAAAAUCGGUCCAAUCAACAGCCAACUGUCAAGUUGGGGCAAGGUGAUAUCUAAAGAUAAGUUUAGCCAAUUAGCAAACGACUUUUCCCUUGCCUGGCUUUGUCAUCAGCAGCUGCCAAAAAUAUUGUUUUAAGUGUAUCUCAUGUUGGCAUUUUUUUAACAAAGUUCCUUAGCAAUCUAGGGUUAAAGCAAUCUGAAGGGAAAAAAUUCUGGAAGCCUAGUUCAUGUAGUACUUUUAGAAAAUGAAAAAAAUGACUGCCAUUGACCCACUGUCCUCUCUGUUGAUUUUGAAUUGUUGCCUUCUUUUAUCUGCCGCAGAUUAUUCUAGCAUGGAUCCAGAAAAUCAGGUGUAAACUCCAGCCAGAAUUUCUAGACUCAACAUCCCAUCCUGUUCUAAG